RNAcentral lists this ribosomal RNA (501 nucleotides) under uncultured bacterium. RNAcentral describes it as "partial 16S ribosomal RNA". It matches the Rfam family "Bacterial small subunit ribosomal RNA", at positions 30 to 523 of the family's 1533-position model. The record is from RNAcentral.
AUUGAACGCUGGCGGCAGGCUUAACACAUGCAAGUCGAGCGGGGGAAGGUAGCUUGCUACCGGACCUAGCGGCGGACGGGUGAGUAAUGCUUAGGAAUCUGCCUAUUAGUGGGGGACAACAUCUCGAAAGGGAUGCUAAUACCGCAUACGUCCUACGGGAGAAAGCAGGGGAUCUUCGGACCUCGCGCUAAUAGAUGAGCCUAGGUCGGAUUAGCUAGUUGGUGGGGUAAAGGCCUACCAAGGCGACGAUCUGUAGCGGGUCUGAGAGGAUGAUGCGCCACACUGGGACUGAGACACGGCCCAGACUCCUACGGGAGGCAGCAGUGGGGAAUACUGGACAAUGGGGGGAACCCUGAUCCAGCCAUGCCGCGUGUGUGAAGAAGGCCUUAUGGUUGUAAAGCACUUUAAGCGAGGAGGAGGCUACUCUAGUUAAUACCUAGGGAUAGUGGACGUUACUCGCAGAAUAAGCACCGGCUAACUCUGUGCCAGCCGCCGCCGUAA